Molecule: ribosomal RNA, 692 nt
Filed under: Mortierella sp.
Lineage: Eukaryota; Fungi; Mortierellomycota; Mortierellomycetes; Mortierellales; Mortierellaceae
Description: LSU rRNA
Rfam family: Eukaryotic large subunit ribosomal RNA
Source: RNAcentral
GGAUUCCCCUAGUAACGGCGAGUGAAGCGGGAUGAGCUCAAAUUUAAAAUCUGGCUGGUUUACUAGUCCGAAUUGUAGUUUAUAGAAGCGUUUUCGGUGGCAGCCUGGGUAUAAAUCCUUUGGAAUAGGGUAUCAUAGAGGGUGAGAAUCCCGUCUUUGACUCAGUGCAUGCUACUAUGUGAUACGUUUUCAAAGAGUCGAGUUGUUUGGGAAUGCAGCUCAAAAUGGGUGGUAAAUUUCAUCUAAGGCUAAAUAUUGGCGAGAGACCGAUAGCGAACAAGUACCGUGAGGGAAAGAUGAAAAGAACUUUGAAAAGAGAGUUAAACAGUGCGUGAAAUUGUUGAAAGGGAAACGUUUGACACCAGUUAUGCGGGUGGAAAAUCAGUCUUUUGCAGUGGGGAGUUGUGGGCGUUCAGACCGCAAGGCUGGCGUUUGCUUCAUCUUUGUUGUAAGUGAUGCACUUUUUCAUUUGCAGGUCAACAUCAGUUUGCUUUGCUGGACAAAACCCCAAGGGAAGGUGGCAGCUUAGGCUGUGUUAUAGCCCUGGGGCGAUACAGUGGAGUGGACUGAGGUUUCGCAGUGUGUGCUCUCGGGCAAGGCUGACUGGGUGCUAUGGGAUCGUUCGGCGUACAAUGCAUGCAUUUUGCGUCGUGUCUUUUUCAUACUCGCUCAACUCGGCUCUUCCACACUUA